Molecule: ribosomal RNA, 271 nt
Filed under: uncultured bacterium
Lineage: Bacteria
Description: partial 16S ribosomal RNA
Rfam family: Bacterial small subunit ribosomal RNA
Source: RNAcentral
AUGAACGCUGGCGGCGUGCUUAACACAUGCAAGUCGAACGAUUAAAGCUCACUUCGGUGAGUGUAUAGAGUGGCGAACGGGUGAGUAACACGUAGGAAACCUACCCUUAAGAGGGGGAUAAUGUCGAGAAAUUGGCACUAAUACCCCAUAAGACUACGAAAUGAGAAGUUCGUGGUAAAAGUCUUGAGAAAUCGGGAUGCUGAAGGAUGGGCCUGCGGCCUAUCAGGUAGUUGGUGGGGUAAAGGCCUACCAAGCCUAAGACGGGUAGCCG